This is a long non-coding RNA of Epinephelus moara (kelp grouper), 573 nucleotides long. RefSeq lists it as uncharacterized. The transcript has 3 exons. The record is from RefSeq and is a predicted model, not a curated record. Lineage: Eukaryota; Metazoa; Chordata; Actinopteri; Perciformes; Serranidae.
CACCAGGUGUCUAUAUAAUGGAUCACAACUUUCCUCUCUGGUUGACUCCUUUUUCCAGCCAUGCCCUGACGAAAUGGAUGGAUAACUUAACAGGCCUGAAGGCAGGGCCAAACUGUCAGGGGGCCACCUGGCCUUCACCUGUAAUAAAGGCAUUUUAACCAUAUAUCCUUGGCUCAAUGCUAGUGUGCCUUAGCUCAGUGGUUUCCCCUUUUCAUAUGUUGAUUCUCUUUUAACUACAGGACAUUAAAUAGAUCAAACACGGCAGCCAAAAUGUUUUAAAUGUUUUUAUUCUAAUUUUCAGGUUGGUGGAGGUACAUUAUUGUGUCUGUGGGUUUAGCAACACUCAUAAUAAGUGUUGUCACAGUCAACAUAUGGAAGAGAACUAAAGGGAGCCAAACACAGAUGGAGGACGAUGCUGUGCAUCAUGAUGAAGAUGAAGGUACAGUCAGCUAUGAAAACGUCGGAGAACCUUCUGCUUCCAUCAGACUCCACUGAUCCAACUUCAACAUCAGCUCACAAGAAAAAACAGGGGCGUCGGUGGUUCACGCUUAACUGUCCUAACUAUAAAGACAA